This 337-nucleotide unclassified non-coding RNA is filed under the name soil metagenome. Its description in RNAcentral is "partial contains 5.8S ribosomal RNA, internal transcribed spacer 2, and large subunit ribosomal RNA". The stretch from base 1 to 120 matches the Rfam family "5.8S ribosomal RNA", at positions 35 to 154 of the family's 154-position model. The record is from RNAcentral.
GAUGAAGAACGUAGCGAAAUGCGAUAAGUAAUGUGAAUUGCAGAAUUUAGUGAAUCAUCGAAUCUUUGAACGCACAUUGCGCCCCUUGGUAUUCCAUGGGGCAUGCCUGUUCGAGCGUCAUUUGUACCUUCAAGCUCUGCUUGGUGUUGGGUGUUUGUCUCGCCUCUGCGUGUAGACUCGCCUCAAAACAAUUGGCAGCCGGCGUAUUGAUUUCGGAGCGCAGUACAUCUCGCGCUUUGCACUCAUAACGACGACGUCCAAAAGUACAUUUUUACACUCUUGACCUCGGAUCAGGUAGGGAUACCCGCUGAACUUAAGCAUAUCAAUAAGCGGAGGA